UCAGUUUUUGACUGUUGGAAUAUAAACGACUGCAAGAAUACACCAUAAAUCUAUACGGAUGCCCUUCGACUGCUCGCCGAAGUCCUUUUUGUCCCAGCCGGUAGGUCUCUAGAUGUUACAGAGAACCCCGAACAACCCAAACUGCUAAUCUUCGAUACCGCUUUAUACUCAUGAUCUUGUAUCCACUGACUGUCUCGUUAGAUUAACCCAAUAAAUUUCAUUCACUCUCCAUACUCAAUCCUAUAGACACCCUUUUAAUUCUUCAUCACAGACGUAACUCGAUUUCACAAAACAGUCAAGAGUAAUCAAACCCACUUCAUUAAAAAUCCCGAUUCACCAUUACAACACUGACUUCAGCAAUGAUUGCCUCAGUCUUCCCAAAACCCUAU
Molecule: long non-coding RNA, 389 nt
Filed under: Physcomitrium patens
Lineage: Eukaryota; Viridiplantae; Streptophyta; Bryopsida; Funariales; Funariaceae
Description: long non-coding RNA (PPAT_LNC004516)
Source: RNAcentral